UUGCACGCUGGCGGCCUGCCUUACACAUGCAAGUCGAACGGUAACAGGUUAAGCUGCCGCGUGGCGAACGGGUGAGUAAUGUAUCGGAACGUGCCCAGUCGUGGGGGAUAACUGCUCGAAAGAGCAGCUAAUACCGCAUACGACCUGAGGGUGAAAGCGGGGGAUCGCAAGACCUCGCGCGAUUGGAGCGGCCGAUAUCAGAUUAGGUAGUUGGUGAGGUAAAGGCUCACCAAGCCGACGAUCUGUAGCUGGUCUGAGAGGACGACCAGCCACACUGGGACUGAGACACGGCCCAGACUCCUACGGGAGGCAGCAGUGGGGAAUUUUGGACAAUGGGCGCAAGCCUGAUCCAGCCAUGCCGCGUGCGGGAAGAAGGCCUUCGGGUUGUAAACCGCUUUUGUCAGGGAAGAAAAGGUUCUGGCUAAUACCUGGGACUCAUGACGGUACCUGAAGAAUAAGCACCGGCUAACUACGUG
RNAcentral lists this ribosomal RNA (476 nucleotides) under uncultured bacterium. Its description in RNAcentral is "partial 16S ribosomal RNA". It matches the Rfam family "Bacterial small subunit ribosomal RNA", at positions 30 to 507 of the family's 1533-position model. The record is from RNAcentral.